This 699-nucleotide ribosomal RNA is filed under the name uncultured bacterium. RNAcentral describes it as "bacterial SSU rRNA". It matches the Rfam family "Bacterial small subunit ribosomal RNA", at positions 104 to 817 of the family's 1533-position model. The record is from RNAcentral.
GGGUGAGUAACGCGUAAGGAACUUGCCUCUUGGUCUGGGACAACUGUUGGAAACGACAGCUAAUACCGGAUAUUAUGAGAUUCUCGCAUGGGAAACUUAUGAAAGCUAUAUGCGCCAAGAGAGAGCCUUGCGUUCCAUUAGCUAGUUGGUGGGGUAACGGCCCACCAAGGCGACGAUGGAUAGCCGGCCUGAGAGGGUGAACGGCCACAAGGGGACUGAGACACGGCCCUUACUCCUACGGGAGGCAGCAGUGGGGAAUAUUGGACAAUGGGCCACAAGCCUGAUCCAGCAAUUCUGUGUGCACGAUGAAGGUCUUCGGAUUGUAAAGUGCUUUCAGUUGGGAAGAAGAAAGUGAUGGUACCAACAGAAGAAGCGACGGCUAAAUACGUGCCAGCAGCCGCGGUAAUACGUAUGUCGCAAGCGUUAUCCGGAUUUAUUGGGCGUAAAGCGCGUCUAGGCGGAAAAAUAAGUCUGAUGUUAAAAUGCGGGGCUCAACUCCGUAUUGCGUUGGAAACUGUUUUUCUAGAGUACUGGAGAGGUGGGCGGAACUACAAGUGUAGAGGUGAAAUUCGUAGAUAUUUGUAGGAAUGCCGAUGGAGAAGUCAGCUCACUGGACAGAUACUGACGCUAAAGCGCGAAAGCGUGGGGAGCAAACAGGAUUAGAUACCCUGGUAGUCCACGCCGUAAACGAUGAUCACU